GACGAACGCUGGCGGCGUGCUUAACACAUGCAAGUCGAACGGUAAGGCCCUUCGGGGUACACGAGUGGCGAACGGGUGAGUAACACGUGGGUGAUCUGCCCUGCACUUCGGGAUAAGCCUGGGAAACUGGGUCUAAUACUGGAGAGGACCACUGCCUGCAGGGGGGGUGGGGGAAAGCGUUUGCGGUGUGGGAUGGGCCCGCGGCCGAUCAGCUUGUUGGUGGGGUGAUGGCCUACCAAGGCGACGACGGGUAGCCGGCCUGAGAGGGUGACCGGCCACACUGGGACUGAGAUACGGCCCAGACUCCUACGGGAGGCAGCAGUGGGGAAUAUUGCACAAUGGGCGCAAGCCUGAUGCAGCGACGCCGCGUGAGGGAUGACGGCCUUCGGGUUGUAAACCUCUUUCAGCACCGACGAAGCGCAAGUGACGGUAGGUGCAGAAGAAGGACCGGCCAACUACGUGCCAGCAGCCGCCGUAA
RNAcentral lists this ribosomal RNA (478 nucleotides) under uncultured bacterium. Its description in RNAcentral is "partial 16S ribosomal RNA". It matches the Rfam family "Bacterial small subunit ribosomal RNA", at positions 28 to 523 of the family's 1533-position model. The record is from RNAcentral.